Molecule: non-coding RNA, 397 nt
Organism: Chinchilla lanigera (long-tailed chinchilla)
Lineage: Eukaryota; Metazoa; Chordata; Mammalia; Rodentia; Chinchillidae
Source: the annotation of a RefSeq genome assembly
CAGAAUACCAGAACACAGGAUGGACAUGAAGGCUCCCUCUCAGCUCCUAUGGCUCCUGCUGCUUUGCCUCCCAGGGAUGAGAUGUGACAUCCAGUUGACCCAGUCUCCGUCUACCCAGUCUGCCUCCCUUGGAGACCAAGUCACCAUCACUUGCAAGUCCAGUCAAGGCAUUAGUAAUGAUUUAGCAUGGUAUCAGCAGAAACCAGGGAAAGUUCCUAAACUCCUGAUCUAUGAAGCAAACACUGUGCACUCUGGGGUCUCCUCGAGGUUCAGCGGCAGUGGGUCUGGGACAGAUUUCACUCUCACCAUAAAAAACGUGGAGCCCGAGGACUUUGCAACUUAUUACUGUCAACAGUAUAACAGUUACCCUCCCACAGUGAUACAAGCCAUAGCAUAA